AAAUUGAAGAGUUUGAUCAUGGCUCAGAUUGAACGCUGGCGGCAGGCCUAACACAUGCAAGUCGAACGGUAACAGAAAGCAGCUUGCUGCUUUGCUGACGAGUGGCGGACGGGUGAGUAAUGUCUGGGAAACUGCCUGAUGGAGGGGGAUAACUACUGGAAACGGUGGCUAAUACCGCAU
RNAcentral lists this ribosomal RNA (180 nucleotides) under Salmonella enterica. Its description in RNAcentral is "partial 16S ribosomal RNA". It matches the Rfam family "Bacterial small subunit ribosomal RNA", at positions 1 to 174 of the family's 1533-position model. Lineage: Bacteria; Pseudomonadati; Pseudomonadota; Gammaproteobacteria; Enterobacterales; Enterobacteriaceae. The record is from RNAcentral.